Molecule: small RNA, 28 nt
Filed under: Bombyx mori (domestic silkworm)
Lineage: Eukaryota; Metazoa; Arthropoda; Insecta; Lepidoptera; Bombycidae
Description: ovarian small RNA-35352
Source: RNAcentral
UGUAAUAGCAGCGAAGUAGUUGUUUAUU